RNAcentral lists this ribosomal RNA (484 nucleotides) under uncultured bacterium. RNAcentral's name for it is "bacterial SSU rRNA". It matches the Rfam family "Bacterial small subunit ribosomal RNA", at positions 29 to 507 of the family's 1533-position model. The record is from RNAcentral.
AUGAACGCUAGCGGCAGGCUUAACACAUGCAAGUCGAGGGGCAACACGGGUAGCAAUACCUGGUGGCGACCGGCGCAAGGGUGCGUAACGCGUGAGCAACAUGCCCUAUACGAGGGGGAUAAUCCAGGGAAACUUGGUCUAAUAUCCCAUAGUAUUUAGAGGUGGCAUCACCACUAAAUUAAAGCUUCGGUGGUAUAGGAUUGGCUCGCGUGACAUUAGCUGGAUGGUGGGGUAACGGCUCACCAUGGCGAUGAUGUCUAGGGGUUCUGAGAGGAAGACCCCCCACACUGGGACUGAGACACGGCCCAGACUCCUACGGGAGGCAGCAGUGAGGAAUAUUGGACAAUGGAUGGAAAUCUGAUCCAGCCAUGCCGCGUGCAGGAAGACGGCCCUAUGGGUUGUAAACUGCUUUUAUAUGGGAGCAAUAAGGUUUACGCGUAGACCGAUGAGAGUACCAUAUGAAUAAGCAUCGGCUAACUCCGUG